Molecule: ribosomal RNA, 253 nt
Filed under: uncultured bacterium
Lineage: Bacteria
Description: partial 16S ribosomal RNA
Rfam family: Bacterial small subunit ribosomal RNA
Source: RNAcentral
UACGGAGGAUGCAAGCGUUGUCCGGAAUUAUUGGGCGUAAAGCGUCCGUAGGUGGUUUAGUAAGUCUGCUGUUAAAGCGCGGGGCUUAACUCCGUAUCGGCAGUGGAAACUACUAGACUAGAGUGUGGUAGGGGUAGAGGGAAUUCCCAGUGUAGCGGUGAAAUGCGUAGAUAUUGGGAAGAACACCGGUGGCGAAGGCGCUCUACUGGGCCAUAACUGACACUGAUGGACGAAAGCUAGGGGAGCGAAAGGG